UGCAUUUUGGCUGCAAGUCAAUGACUUUAGGAUGAUACAGAGAUGAACAUGGCCCCUGUGCAAGGACCGCACACAAAUACAUGAAAUGGUCCCUGUUUUC
Molecule: small nuclear RNA, 100 nt
Organism: Tupaia belangeri (northern tree shrew)
Lineage: Eukaryota; Metazoa; Chordata; Mammalia; Scandentia; Tupaiidae
Source: Ensembl